This is a long non-coding RNA of Triticum dicoccoides, 1792 nucleotides long. RefSeq lists it as uncharacterized. The record is from RefSeq and is a predicted model, not a curated record. NCBI's taxonomy places the organism in Eukaryota, Viridiplantae, Streptophyta, Magnoliopsida, Poales, Poaceae. The transcript has 2 exons.
CCCGCACUCACGCAGCAACCCACGCCUUGUUGCCCAUCUUCCCCACCACGACCACGGGCGCCCCAGCAACCCCACCCCUUCCCACUCCCGCGGCACGCCACCACUCCACCCCUCCGGCGCGCCACCACCCUACACCUCCGGCGCGCCACCACCUCCCAGCCCCGCGGCGCUCCACCACCCCACCCCUCCGGCGCGCCCCCAACUCCGGUGCACCCCCGCGGCGAUGGCGGGAUCCGGCCGCCACUGGCCCCCGGCGAGGCCUGCUCCACCGGAUCCGGCGGCCACCGCCCCCCUACGACCACUACCGGAGCUCCUCCCCGCGAUCCUCCUCCGCCUCCCUCUCCCGCACCUGCCCGGCCUCCCACCGCCGCCCUCACCUCCCCUCCAGUGGAUGUGGACAUCGGCGACCAUCGCAUCUGGCCUGCACCGCGCCUGUAGCCACUGGAUCAAUGGAUCCCCCAUGCGUGUGUUCCCCAGUCAGCCCCACCUCGCCGACCCUACUUCCUUCUUCGCUGGCGCCGGCGCCCUGGCCCUGCCCGAGCCCACUUCUUUCUCUCCCCUACCCCGUGGUUUGGAUCCCGUGUUGCGGCCCCUACACCGACGCCAUCUCCUCCAGCCAACUCCCAUCCCCUAGCGCUCACCUCCCACCUUGGGGGGUCACUGGAUCGGGAUCCAGGCCGGGGGCUUCCCCCAACUAUGCAACGCCGCCAGAUCAGCCUCCCCGCGCCCCCGAGAUUCCAGAUAGGGCCUCCCCCCAAGGAAUUGUUGCGGGAUCCACAACCCCCCACCGGUGAGCCGGCCCUCUGCCCACCUCCGCAGCUGGAGCAGCACGGCCGUGCUGGUGCAGUGCAUCGCGACUCCGCGUGCAGUACAGUGGUAUGCUUGUGGGUGUGAAGCAGUGUGCUCGGUUGCCGCUCCCCCGUGUAGCUCGCUUGCCGCCCCCGUGCAGCUCACCUACGGCGAGCAGUAUGUUUGUGGGUGUGAAGCAGUGCGCUCGGUUGCCACUACCCGUGCAGCUCACCUCCGGCGAGCAGUAUGCUUGUGGGUGUGAAGCAGUGCGCUCGUUUGCUCAAGGGGGAAAGUGCUAGAGGAUAAAGAAGGAGCGUGUGGUUGAGAAAAAGUGCCCGAGUGGCAUUUUAUUUUGAGUUUAAAAUUUAUUGGGGGAAGUUGGUCUUGCAGUACACUAUUUUGAUUUUUUUGCCGUUGAAAUAUCUUCAGUGUCCUGCAGUUUGCUAUGCGAUGGGUUUAGUUAACCCGUUUCUUUUAUAGUUAGAAAAUAAAUUAAAGAAAUCAGCUCCUUUUCCUGAUGCAGGGUUACAUUGUAUCAUGCAGUACUCUUGGGCUCCUAAUGCGGUUCAGUUGCAGCGAUGCUGCAGUGCGGCCGCUCUCUCUGCUGCCAGAUCUACGACCGUUGCUCGACGUGAGCACCUCGGGCGCAUCACGAGCCGUUCAUUUGGGCGCAACAUUGCAGUCCGCAUGGGUCGUCGCUGUGCUGCAGCUGGGUGUGCAGUCCACCGGUGAGGGUGCUUGCAGUGUCUUGAACAAAUUUGUUAGCAGAGAGACACAAAAAAUGUAGUCCAGUCCAUUUGUGUAGCAGCCCAUUACCACUCUUUAUGAAGUGCAAUUUGUUUCGUGUGUCUCAAAAUUCAGUCGACUACAUGAUCACUUGUAGUGUGUUUGGUCCUAGGAUGUGGUUUACUUUUAAAAGUGAUGUUGUUCACUUGCGCUCAACAUGAAAGUGCAUUUUUUUGUAAAACGAAACAACUCGAUAGCAAUGAGGUUCACUUCGCCA